CCUACGGGUGGCUGCAGUAGGGAAUCUUCCACAAUGGGCGAAAGCCUGAUGGAGCAACGCCGCGUGGGUGAAGAAGGUCUUCCGAUCUUAAAACCCUUUUUUUAGAGGAGUAAGUUCGGGAGAGUAACUGUUCACGUUUCGACUGUAUCUAACCAGAAAGCCACGGCUAACUCCGUGCCAGCAGCCGAGGUAAUACGUAGGUGGCAAUCGUUAUCCGGAUUUGUUGGGCGUAAAGGGAACGCAGGCGGGCGUUUAAGUCUGAUGUUAAAGCCUUCGGCUUAACCGGAGUAGUGCAUUGGAAACUGGGAGCCUUGAGUACAGAAGAGGAAAGUGGAACUCCAGGUGUAGCGGUGAAAUGCGUAGAUAUAUGGAAGAACACCAGUGGCGAAGGCGGCUCUCUGGUCUGUAACUGACACUGAGGUUCGAAAGCGUGGGUAGCAAACAGGAUUAGAUACCCGAGUAGUC
RNAcentral lists this ribosomal RNA (465 nucleotides) under uncultured bacterium. Its description in RNAcentral is "partial 16S ribosomal RNA". It matches the Rfam family "Bacterial small subunit ribosomal RNA", at positions 338 to 795 of the family's 1533-position model. The record is from RNAcentral.